CAGAGAAUAGUUUAUUAAAAUAUUAAUUUUGGAGAUUAAAGAUAUACUUAUAUGUUUUUCUCUGA
RNAcentral lists this transfer RNA (65 nucleotides) under Elateroidea sp. 1 KM-2017. Its description in RNAcentral is "tRNA-Pro". Lineage: Eukaryota; Metazoa; Arthropoda; Insecta; Coleoptera. The record is from RNAcentral.